UAUUUUAAUGAGACCAUAUAUUUAUAUAAAACAUUCUAAAAAUUAUUAUUUUAUUAUUUUAUCGAUUUGUGUCAUAUUUUGAAUCGGCCUAACUCGGGACUGGAAAUAUUUAUUAAUUUAUAAUAUUUAUUAAUUUAUCGGAUAUUAAUUUGUAGAGUUUCUACUGUACCAUCAUUAACAUCUUCACUGAAUCAGCAAUGACAAAAAUCAUAACAUUAUACUAAUUCUUUGUCGUUAUCGCCAUUAAAACAAUAUGAGUAAAACUUUACACACAAACGUAAAUACAAACAAAAUUAAUUUGACAAAGUGGGUGAAACAGCCUUCAAGAAUCAAGAGAGUCCAAAUUAGCCUUCAAUGACACAUAACAUAAUCGCCAAGUAAAUUAUUUUCGCUAUUAAUCAUUCUCAAUUACUACAUAUGAGUAUGUUG
RNAcentral lists this long non-coding RNA (429 nucleotides) under Brassica napus (rape). RNAcentral describes it as "long non-coding RNA (BNAP_LNC014493)". The record is from RNAcentral. Lineage: Eukaryota; Viridiplantae; Streptophyta; Magnoliopsida; Brassicales; Brassicaceae.